GAGGGUAUAGAUCAAGUAGUAGAGUGCAUGCUUAGAAUGCCUGAGGUCCUGGGUUCAAUCCCCAGUACCUUCU
RNAcentral lists this transfer RNA (73 nucleotides) under Camelus bactrianus (Bactrian camel). It matches the Rfam family "tRNA". Rfam says of the family: Transfer RNA (tRNA) molecules are approximately 80 nucleotides in length. Their secondary structure includes four short double-helical elements and three loops (D, anti-codon, and T loops). Further hydrogen bonds mediate the characteristic L-shaped molecular structure. tRNAs have two regions of fundamental functional importance: the anti-codon, which is responsible for specific mRNA codon recognition, and the 3' end, to which the tRNAs corresponding amino acid is attached (by aminoacyl-tRNA synthetases). tRNAs cope with the degeneracy of the genetic code in two manners: having more than one tRNA (with a specific anti-codon) for a particular amino acid; and 'wobble' base-pairing, i.e. permitting non-standard base-pairing at the 3rd anti-codon position. The record is from Rfam by way of RNAcentral. Lineage: Eukaryota; Metazoa; Chordata; Mammalia; Artiodactyla; Camelidae. RNAcentral also lists the same sequence under 1 other name.